This 443-nucleotide ribosomal RNA is filed under the name uncultured bacterium. Its description in RNAcentral is "partial 16S ribosomal RNA". It matches the Rfam family "Bacterial small subunit ribosomal RNA", at positions 338 to 795 of the family's 1533-position model. The record is from RNAcentral.
CCUACGGGAGGCAGCAGUGGGGAAUAUUGGGCAAUGGAGGCAACUCUGACCCAGCAAUGCCGCGUGAGUGAUGAAGGUAAUUUUAUUGUAAAGCUCUUUUCUUUGGAACGAAUAAAUGACGGUACCAAAGGAAUAAGCCCCGGCUAACUACGUGCCAGCAGCCGCGGUAAUACGUAGGGGGUAAGCGUUGUUCGGAAUGACUGGGCGUAAAGGGGGUGUAGGUGGGUUGAUAAGUUAGAUGUGUAAUACCCAGGGCUUAACUCGGGUGCUGCAUCUAAAACUGUUAGACUUGAGUACUGGAGAGGAUAGUGGAAUUCCUAGUGGAGCGGUGGAAUGCGUAGAUAUUAGGAGGAACACCGGUGGCGAAGGCGGCCUGCUGGACUGCAACUGACGUUGAGGCCCGAAAGCGUGGGGAGCAAACAGGAUUAGAUACCCCUGUAGUC